GAUGAACGCUGGCGGCGUGCCUAAUACAUGCAAGUCGAGCGAACGGACGAGAAGCUUGCUUCUCUGAUGUUAGCGGCGGACGGGUGAGUAACACGUGGAUAACCUACCUAUAAGACUGGGAUAACUUCGGGAAACCGGAGCUAAUACCGGAUAAUAUUUUGAACCGCAUGGUUCAAAAGUGAAAGACGGUCUUGCUGUCACUUAUAGAUGGAUCCGCGCUGCAUUAGCUAGUUGGUAAGGUAACGGCUUACCAAGGCAACGAUGCAUAGCCGACCUGAGAGGGGGAUCGGCCAACUGGGAACUGAGACACGGUCCAGCCCCCUACGGGAGGCAGCAGUAGGGAAUCUUCCGCAAUGGGCGAAAGCCUGACGGAGCAACGCCGGGUGAGUGAGGAAGGUCUUCGGAUCGUAAAACUUUGUUAUUAGGGAAGAACAUAUGUGUAAGUAACUGUGCACAUCUGGACGGUACCUAAUCAAAAAGCCACGGCUAACUACGU
This 496-nucleotide ribosomal RNA is filed under the name uncultured bacterium. RNAcentral describes it as "partial 16S ribosomal RNA". It matches the Rfam family "Bacterial small subunit ribosomal RNA", at positions 28 to 506 of the family's 1533-position model. The record is from RNAcentral.